This 108-nucleotide ribosomal RNA is filed under the name uncultured bacterium. Its description in RNAcentral is "partial 16S ribosomal RNA". It matches the Rfam family "Bacterial small subunit ribosomal RNA", at positions 1369 to 1482 of the family's 1533-position model. The record is from RNAcentral.
UGUUCCUGGGUCUUGUACUCACCGCCCGUCAACUCAUGAAAGGCAGGGGCACCCGAAGAUCCGUUACCCGUAAGGGGCGGGGCCACGGUGAAACUGCUGAUUGGGAGU